AAUUGCCGUCUACUGGGGUCAACACGGCGAUGAAGGAAGCUUGGCCGACACAUGCGCCAGUGGAAACUACCAGUUUGUGAACCUGGCAUUUCUGACGACCUUCGGCGGUGGAAAAACACCAGUGUUGAACUUAGCCGGCCACUGCGACCCCCCCUCGGGCACUUGCGCCUCCUUGAGUGCUGAAAUUAAAGGUUGCCAGAACCGAAACAUCAAAGUGCUGCUUUCCCUCGGAGGUCAGAUUGGAAACU
Molecule: long non-coding RNA, 248 nt
Filed under: Coffea arabica (coffee)
Lineage: Eukaryota; Viridiplantae; Streptophyta; Magnoliopsida; Gentianales; Rubiaceae
Description: long non-coding RNA (CARA_LNC001462)
Source: RNAcentral